This is a non-coding RNA of Taeniopygia guttata (zebra finch), 3004 nucleotides long. The record is from RefSeq and is a predicted model, not a curated record. NCBI's taxonomy places the organism in Eukaryota, Metazoa, Chordata, Aves, Passeriformes, Estrildidae.
GGCCUUUCUGCUCCUUGUGCUGAGGAGGCCCAGCCAGGACAGGUGACCCCAGCUGACCCAAGAGACAUUCCAGACCAUGUGGCAUCAUCAUCAGAGGAGCAAGUGGAGGGGAGAGGGAGGGGGGACAUUUGGAGUGAUGGUAUUUGUCCUUCCAAGUCACUGUGGUGUGUGAUGGGACCCUGGGAAUGGCUGAACACCUGCCCAGCCAUGCGAAGCAGGGAAUUCAUUCCUUGCUCUGCUUUGCUGUGCAAGCUUUUGCUUCCAGUCUUAACCUGUCUUUAUCCCACCCCAGGUGGGAUAAAAAAGGUUUUCCAGCUUUUACCCUUUUGAUUCUCUCCCUGAUCCCACUGGUGGGGGAGUGAGUGAGCAGCUGUGAGGGGCUGGCUGCUGCCUGGGGUUAAGCCACAACAUGUGUGAUGUCUGGCAAAUGUUAGAAAUUAACAAAUACAUACUUUAACACAGUGUUCUUAGAUAUCAUGGUGAAAUAUAUUUGUUUACAGCUUUCUAGAAUCACAUACUUGAAAAGCAUUCCUGAAAUUUGAAGACUUUAUCAUGACUACCUCAUGAUUUCUCAGAAUUCUGCCUGAUUCAUUUAGAGAGCAAAAGAUGAGUGUUUCCCCCAUGUCUUGAAUAAUGCUUUUAUUUCCCCUGUUUAAUAAAAGGGAGAAAUGAUGAUGCUGCAAUCCAGGCAUCCAGCAAGGAGGAACUAGAGAAAUGUCCUGACUAGAUAUGUGUUUGUUGUGUAGUUGUAGGUGAGGAAAUCUUGCUGUGGUCUGUGCAUACCAGAGUUUAAAGGAUCUUUGGAAUUCUACCUGAUAAUUCAGAGGAAAAGAAUACUUUCCCCCUCCUUUUUUUUUUUUUUUCUCCAGCUGACUAUAUCAAGAACAUUUGAAUAGAAUUUGAGAGAUCUUCAGGACUGGCUGAAACUAAAACUUCUCUCUGAAUAAAACUUUCUCUGAAAUAAUUUGCUGACUCCUCACCUCAUUAAAAAUUUGCCAUUUAAACCAUGUGGACUUGUGUAUUUUCCAGCAGGAAUUCCCUUGCAGCCCAUUACUGCAAUCAGAACACAGAGAGUGAAGGUUUAUUUCAAUCCAUAUGUGUGAAUAUUUUGCUCCUUUUGGAUGUAAGGCAGUGGAUACUCAUAUCUACUAUAGAGAACCAGUCUCACACUCAGCUGAAAACUGGGACCAUGAACUGGACACCAGAGUGGUACAGAACUUCGGACAAAGUUGUAUCAAAGUACAGCAGAAGUUAGACAAAUUUUGUUGCAGUUAGUCAUUAAAUGUAUGUUUAUUAUAUACAGACAUAGGUAUAUUGGUAAGGAAUAAUAACAGAUAAUUAUAAGUCUAAAUUGUCCAGGUAUAGAAAUAUCUAGACAAGAAUAAUAAUUUAAAUGUGCAUUUAUGUCCCUGUGUAUGUCUAAAUACAGAGAUUUUUGUUAAUUACUACAUUACUAAAUAUGUUUACAUGCAUAUAGAAUUAUAUGUAUUUAUAUACACAAAUGUAUAUAUCUAGUCAAUUAUCUAGAUAUCCAUUUAUAUGAUAUAAAUGUCAUUAUACAGGAUGUAUACAUAUGGUUGCUCUUUUGCCACGAAAAUUACAUUAUUGUUUAUACUCUCAGUGUAAAAGGGAGUAUUGUUCCUGUUCUACUUUGUUACUUUUUUUUGUCUAUUUCCUUUUUCUUUUUCUUUUACUCCCCAAUAGAUAUUUUAAGAAUAUUUGAGCACGCAUCUACUGUAAAAUAGUUUCCAGAUCCAAGAUGUUAUUUUGUUUAUCACCAGAUCUGGGAAGAUACAUUUUUUUUUUUUUAUCGGUGUUUAUAAAGUAUGCAUUUAGAUGGGAGGAAUGAAGAAAUUUCUGUUGGGGGGCAUGUUGUAUUAUUCAGUGAUAUUGACUCUUGGGUUGGAUAAUCAGCUUGAAGCUCAGAAAUGUUGCUUCCUUCAGCAGGACUGCAACAGAAAAAAACUUCUGCAGACAUUGUACCAUACCCCUACCUGUGCCAUCAGAACCUGAACAACUGCCUAACAGGAAUUCUUUUUCAACAUAAAUUUAAAUCAUUGUGGAAAAGGUAUAGCAAAGGUUGACUUGGAAUUCAAAUCUCACUAGGAUUUUAAUAUGGCUCAUUUACAGAAGUCCACUGGAAACUGAAAAUCAGACAUGCAAUUGUCACUUUUUUCAAAGUGUUUUUAAAGUAUUUAAUUGAAUAUUUUUAAACAUAAAUAAAAGAUAGGAACAAAUUUUAAAUGCCCAGAAUCUGUGGUAAAAUCUGUCUUUUUGGAAUUUUUUAGAAUGCAGGUUUCUGACAGAUUCAGACAGUACUAGUGUCUCUGUAGUUAUCAACUUUAGCUUUUUUCAUUGAUUUCACCAUAAUUUUUCUCUGUGAUAUCUUUCUUUUUGCUUUAACUCUUAAAAAAAAAUGAAGGAUAAUAUUUGAUAAGGAUUUUCAAUAACUUAAAAUAUUUCCAUGCUAAACCCCUCCCUCCACCAACAAAACCCCUGGAAACCUAAAAGCCUGAUGCUUCAAAAGGUUUCCACUUACAGAAAUUAACAUUCUCAGUUAUACCUUGCAUCAAAGUCACACAGAGAACACAGGCACUUAACUUGUGGUAUGGAUUGAAAAUCUACUUUCACCAAACCUCUUUGAUUAACUGUUCUGAUAUCUUUCAUUAUAAGUAUAGCGUUGCCUUUCCUUAAAACUUUAUAAUCCAAGUUAAGGUUGCUCAGAUUUCUUUCUUCAUUUGUAGGUUUUUGUUUUGGUGGAGUGUUCUUUUUAUUUGUUUUGUCUGUUUAUUUUGGUUUCUUUUUGUUUUGUUUUUUAAGAUGGAAAUAUCAUAAAACCUUAAAAACCAUGAAUAAUCUUGCCCUACACAGGGCUUAGUAAAAAGAUUAGAUCGCUACCCUGAAAAUAGUUUUUCACUUUCAUGUCUUAAGAAAUUUUGAAUAUAAAAUAUACUGCAAUUCCUGUGUAAAUCCUAUACAUCUGCAUUCAUUAUGACUUUUGUCU